CCCUUAGAGUUUGAUCCUGGCUCAGAACGAACGCUGGCGGCGUGCCUAACACAUGCAAGUCGAGCGCGAAUAGGGGCAACCCUUAGUAGAGCGGCGCACGGGUGUGUAACACGUGGGUAAUCUGCCUCAGAGAUUGGGACAACCUGCCGAAAGGCUGGCUAAUACCGGAUAAGACCACGGGGACUUCGGUUCCUGAGGGAAAAGGUGGCCUCUGUAUACAAGCUAUCACUCUGAGAUGAGCCCGCGGCCCAUCAGCUAGUUGGUGAGGUAAUGGCUCACCAAGGCAACGACGGGUAGCUGGUCUGAGAGGACGAUCAGCCACACUGGAACUGAGACACGGUCCAGACUCCUACGGGAGGCAGCAGUGGGGAAUUUUGCACAAUGGGCGAAAGCCUGAUGCAGCAACGCCGCGUGUGUGAUGAAGGUCUUCGGAUUGUAAAGCACUUUCGACCGGGACGAAAACCCGUUGGCUAAUAUCCAGCGGCUUGACGGUACCGGGAGAAGAAGCACCGGCUAACUCUGUGCCAGCAGCCGUGGUAAUACAGAGGGUGCAAGCGUUGUUCGGAAUUAUUGGGCGUAAAGCGCGUGUAGGCGGCAUGGCAAGUCGGGGUGUGAAAGCCCUCAGCUCAACUGAGGAAGUGCGCCCGAAACUGCCUUGCUUGAGUGCUGGAGAGGGUCGCGGAAUUCCCCAAGUAGAGGUGAAAUUCGUAGAUAUGGGGAGGAACACCGGGUGGCGAAGGCGGCGACCUGGACAGUAACUGACGCUGAGACGCGAAAGCGUGGGGAGCAA
RNAcentral lists this ribosomal RNA (790 nucleotides) under uncultured bacterium. RNAcentral's name for it is "bacterial SSU rRNA". It matches the Rfam family "Bacterial small subunit ribosomal RNA", at positions 1 to 771 of the family's 1533-position model. The record is from RNAcentral.